GACGAACGCUGGCGGCGUGCUUAACACAUGCAAGUCGAACGGAAAGGCCCUGCUUUUGUGGGGUGCUCGAGUGGCGAACGGGUGAGUAACAAGUGAGUAACCUGCCCUUGACUUUGGGAUAACUUCAGGAAACUGGGGCUAAUACCGGAUAGGAGCUCCUGCUGCAUGGUGGGGGUUGGAAAGUUUCGGCGGUUGGGGAUAGACUCGCGGCUUAUCAGCUUGUUGGUGGGGUAGUGGCUUACCAAGGCUUUGACGGGUAGCCGGCCUGAGAGGGUGACCGGCCACAUUGGGACUGAGAUACGGCCCAGACUCCUACGGGAGGCAGCAGUGGGGAAUAUUGCACAAUGGGCGGAAGCCUGAUGCAGCAACGCCGCGUGCGGGAUGACGGCCUUCGGGUUGUAAACCGCUUUCGCCUGUGACGAAGCGUGAGUGACGGUAAUGGGUAAAGAAGCACCGGCUAACUACGUG
This 468-nucleotide ribosomal RNA is filed under the name uncultured bacterium. Its description in RNAcentral is "partial 16S ribosomal RNA". It matches the Rfam family "Bacterial small subunit ribosomal RNA", at positions 28 to 507 of the family's 1533-position model. The record is from RNAcentral.